GGUGGUUCUUGGGUGACGCACCCCAGGAUUGGGCUCCCUCCUCUCUGGUUCCGGCUGAGUCACCUGAGAACCGCA
Non-coding RNA from Myotis lucifugus (little brown bat), 75 nucleotides. Lineage: Eukaryota; Metazoa; Chordata; Mammalia; Chiroptera; Vespertilionidae. The record is from Rfam.